AGGAUUAACGCUGGCGGCGUGCCUAACACAUGCAAGUCGAACGAGGUAGCAAUACCUAGUGGCAGACGGGUGAGUAACGCGUGGUCAACCUACCGUUGAGUGGGGGAUAACUAGCCGAAAGGUUAGCUAAUACCGCAUACGAGUCUCGGGGGCAUCCCUGGGCCAUAAAAGGAGCAAUCCGCUCGAUGACGGGACCGCGUCCCAUUAGCUAGAUGGUGGGGUAACGGCCUACCAUGGCACCGAUGGGUAGCUGGUUUGAGAGAGCGACCAGCCACACUGGGACUGAGAAACGGCCCAGACUCCUACGGGAGGCAGCAGUGAGGAAUUUUCCGCAAUGGGCGAAAGCCUGACGGAGCGACGCCGCGUGUGGGAAGAAGGCCUUCGGGUCGUAAACCACUGUCGAAGGGGACGAUAAUGACGGUACCCUUGGAGGAAGCCCGGCUAACUACGCGCCAGCAGCCGC
RNAcentral lists this ribosomal RNA (463 nucleotides) under uncultured bacterium. RNAcentral describes it as "SSU rRNA". It matches the Rfam family "Bacterial small subunit ribosomal RNA", at positions 26 to 518 of the family's 1533-position model. The record is from RNAcentral.